Transfer RNA from Monodelphis domestica (gray short-tailed opossum), 73 nucleotides. It matches the Rfam family "tRNA". From Rfam's summary of the family: Transfer RNA (tRNA) molecules are approximately 80 nucleotides in length. Their secondary structure includes four short double-helical elements and three loops (D, anti-codon, and T loops). Lineage: Eukaryota; Metazoa; Chordata; Mammalia; Didelphimorphia; Didelphidae. The record is from Rfam.
GGCUGGGUAGCUCAGUGGAUUGAGAGCCCAGCCUAGAGGUGGGAGGUCCUAGGUUCGAAUCCAGCCUCAGCCA